Molecule: ribosomal RNA, 572 nt
Filed under: Salmonella enterica subsp. enterica serovar Enteritidis
Lineage: Bacteria; Pseudomonadati; Pseudomonadota; Gammaproteobacteria; Enterobacterales; Enterobacteriaceae
Description: partial 23S ribosomal RNA
Rfam family: Bacterial large subunit ribosomal RNA
Source: RNAcentral
UCGUCACACUAUCAUUAACUGAAUCCAUAGGUUAAUGAGGCGAACCGGGGGAACUGAAACAUCUAAGUACCCCGAGGAAAAGAAAUCAACCGAGAUUCCCCCAGUAGCGGCGAGCGAACGGGGAGGAGCCCAGAGCCUGAAUCAGCAUGUGUGUUAGUGGAAGCGUCUGGAAAGGCGCGCGAUACAGGGUGACAGCCCCGUACACAAAAGCGCAUGUGCUGUGAGCUCGAUGAGUAGGGCGGGACACGUGGUAUCCUGUCUGAAUAUGGGGGGACCAUCCUCCAAGGCUAAAUACUCCUGACUGACCGAUAGUGAACCAGUACCGUGAGGGAAAGGCGAAAAGAACCCCGGCGAGGGGAGUGAAAAAGAACCUGAAACCGUGUACGUACAAGCAGUGGGAGCCCCACCACCAAAGCAUUUGCUGUACCGCGUUGACGGAGCGAAGCGACGUCAAACCGAUAAAACAGCAGUGUAAAGUGAGCCGCAGGGCGCUUUGCGCGACAGCGCAAAGGCAGGCGGUUUCGCGUAGCGAAAGCGAAUGCUUUGGGGUGGGGUGACUGCGUACCUUUUGU